UAAGUGUCUGCGUCCUUCCCACCAGUUUGCCAUUCUCCUUCGUCUGGUUCAACAUGCUCUGUCUGGUGCUGCUAGCUCUCCUUCCGACAGUCCCAAUACGCUGACGAAUCUCUGCUCACAGAGCAUAGACUGUUCUAUCAA
Haliotis rubra (blacklip abalone) is the source of this 141-nucleotide long non-coding RNA. RefSeq lists it as uncharacterized. Lineage: Eukaryota; Metazoa; Mollusca; Gastropoda; Lepetellida; Haliotidae. The transcript is spliced from 2 exons. The record is from RefSeq and is a predicted model, not a curated record.